UUGGCCCUGAGUCAAGGCCAGAAGUUUUGUGAAGCUGUUGGUUUCAAGCAGUAGUAUGAAGAGAUAUCUCUGUAUUGUCUGUUGACCAUUUCAGAACUUUAGAAAUGUAAUAGUCAAUUUAUUAGAAAGAAACAGCU
Molecule: small nucleolar RNA, 137 nt
Organism: Heterocephalus glaber (naked mole-rat)
Lineage: Eukaryota; Metazoa; Chordata; Mammalia; Rodentia; Bathyergidae
Source: Ensembl